Molecule: transfer RNA, 76 nt
Filed under: Rosa rugosa (rugosa rose)
Lineage: Eukaryota; Viridiplantae; Streptophyta; Magnoliopsida; Rosales; Rosaceae
Description: tRNA-Phe
Rfam family: tRNA
About the family: Transfer RNA (tRNA) molecules are approximately 80 nucleotides in length. Their secondary structure includes four short double-helical elements and three loops (D, anti-codon, and T loops).
Source: RNAcentral
UUCAGGUAGCUCCGCUGGUUAGAGCAAAGGACUGAAAAUCCCUUUAUGAGUGGUUCGACUCCACUACCUGAAUCCA